CAGCCCCUAGCGCAGACGGCGGAGAGCAGAGAGGGAGCGCGCCUUGGCUCGCUGGCCUUGGCUGCGGCUCCUCGGGAGAGCUGGGGCGCCCACGAGAGGAUCCCUCACCUGGGUCUCUCCUCAGGGAUGACAUCAUCCGUCCACCUCCUUGUCUUCAAGGACCACCUCCUCUCCAUGCUGAGCUGCUGCCAAGGGGCCUGCUGCCCAUCUACACCUCACGAGGGCACUAGGAGCACGGAUUCCUGGAUCCCACCAACAUACAAAGCAGCCACUCACUGACCCCCAGGACCAGGAUGGCAAAGGAUGAAGAGGACCGGAACUGACCAGCCAGCUGUCCCUCUUACCUAAAGACUUAAACCAAUGCCCUAGUGAGGGGGCAUUGGGCAUUAAGCCCUGACCUUUGCUAUGCUCAUACUUUGACUCUAUGAGUACUUUCCUAUAAGUCUUUGCUUGUGUUCACCUGCUAGCAAACUGGAGUGUUUCCCUCCCCAAGGGGGUGUCAGUCUUUGUCGACUGACUCUGUCAUCACCCUUAUGAUGUCCUGAAUGGAAGGAUCCCUUUGGGAAAUUCUCAGGAGGGGGACCUGGGCCAAGGGCUUGGCCAGCAUCCUGCUGGCAACUCCAAGGCCCUGGGUGGGCUUCUGGAAUGAGCAUGCUACUGAAUCACCAAAGGCACGCCCCACCUCUCUGAAGAUCUUCCUAUCCUUUUCUGGGGAAUGGGGUCGAUGAGAGCAACCUCCUAGGGUUGUUGUGAGAAUUAAAUGAGAUAAAAGAGGCCUCAGGCAGGAUCUGGCAUAGAGGAGGUGAUCAGCAAAUGUUUGUUGAAAAGGUUUGACAGGUCAGUCCCUUCCCACCCCUCUUGCUUGUCUUACUUGUCUUAUUUAUUCUCCAACAGCACUCCAGGCAGCCCUUGUCCACGGGCUCUCCUUGCAUCAGCCAAGCUUCUUGAAAGGCCUGUCUACACUUGCUGUCUUCCUUCCUCACCUCCAAUUUCCUCUUCAACCCACUGCUUCCUGACUCGCUCUACUCCGUGGAAGCACGCUCACAAAGUUCCUGACCUGGCCCUCCCGGGGUGCCCUUGGCCAGCCCCGUGCCUCCUCAGGGUGUCCCAGCACCAGCCUGGCACAGAGUGGGGCUCAGUUAGAGUAUGUGGGAUGUUGGUUUCGCCAGCAGGUUCCCAGUGCCCCCGACAAGCCCCUGCUGGUGUCUCCAUCUCCUGCCAAGCAUCCUCCAGUGCCUCCUCCUGUGGGCCUGGCCUCAGGGCUAUGGACAGACUCCUGUCCCAUCCCAGAGACCCCUCGUGAUCGUGCCCUGGCACGUGGGCCGUGGCCCGGCUGGGUCGGCUGAAGAACUGCGGAUGGAAGCUGCGGAAGAGGCCCUGAUGGGGCCCACCAUCCCGGACCCAAGUCUUCUUCCUGGCGGGCCUCUCGUCUCCUUCCUGGUUUGGGCGGAAGCCAUCACCUGGAUGCCUACGUGGGAAGGGACCUCGAAUGUGGGACCCCAGCCCCUCUCCAGCUCGAAAUCGGCAGACUAGGAUGGAAGUGCCCUGCGAGCUGGGGGGCCCUUCAAAGGGCCAAGGAGAAAACGCAGGCCGAGGGACCAGCCUUCCGAAUGGGCUUCAAGCUCCAGUGACCUCCGCUCGCCCCCUCGAAAUGUCUGGAAAACAUAAUGGGCAGAUUUUCUGUCUUCAAAGUUUCCGGCUAAACCUCUUCAAGUUCUUUAUUGUUUGGGACUGAGACACUCAGCCAUGCCUCCACAGCCACGGGGACGCCCUGCACCUAUUCCCACGGGACAGGCUGGACCCAGAGACUCUGGACCCGGGGCCUCCCCUUGAGUAGAGACCCGCCCUCUGACUGAUGGACGCCGCUGACCUGGGGUCAGACCCGUGGGCUGGACCCCUGCCCACCCCGCAGGAACCCUGAGGCCUAGGGGAGCUGUUGAGCCUUCGGUGUCUGCAUGUGGGAAGUGGGCUCCUUCACCUACCUCACAGGGCUGUUGUGAGGGGCGCUGUGAUGCGGUUCCAAAGCACAGGGCUUGGCGCACCCCACUGUGCUCUCAAUAAAUGUGUUUCCUGUCUUAACAAAAA
Pan troglodytes (chimpanzee) is the source of this 2085-nucleotide RNA transcript. RefSeq lists it as uncharacterized. NCBI's taxonomy places the organism in Eukaryota, Metazoa, Chordata, Mammalia, Primates, Hominidae. The record is from RefSeq and is a predicted model, not a curated record. The transcript is spliced from 10 exons.